CUUCCUUCCUCCUCGCAUCCCUCCAUCCCUUUCCAGGCGUGCUGAUACAUGUGCGACAAGACUCACAGAUGUGCAGAGAUGCGGUUCCAAUAGAAAAGUGGUGUGAUCAAGAAAUCAGGAAUGCGACUGAUCUAAAAAAAGGCAAAGGGAAGGGAAGACAAAAGGAAGAGCUCCUGGCUGACUGGCAGAUUCCAGUUAACACCUUCUCCGCACAGCGUCAGCUCUGAGCUGGCUAAAGCAACCCAGGAGCGCAAGGGAAGACAAGCCAAGAGGGAGGGCAUUUUGUAACCACGGACGACAGCACCAACACUCCACAAGCCCUGGAGAAAGAAAGGAGAGAAGGAGAGAAGGGAAGGAAACACAGCUGGAUGCAGCAAAACCCUGGCUAGAGCACUUUCCAUUUGCAAAGAGGGGAAAGGCCCAAGUGCUGAGCCAAAAUUGGCAAGAAGGACUCGGUUGUUCCAUCUUGGACAGCUCUCUCUUUCUCCCUUUUCUCUCUCAGACGAAAUUCCUGCCUCGGAUCCUUGCGAUGAAAUAACCCAAAGCUGGCUUCCUCCUCCAGCCGGUAUGGAGCAACCUUUUCCUGCCGUCUGCUGAUGCUCAUUUGAGGAGCUGAGCUGGUGACUAAAAGGAGGAGGAAAUCCUCCAGGAGGACAACUAGAUCCAAGCGCAAGAUUGCAGCUGAACAUUCAAAGCAGAUUCCCCCCCUCUCUCCCUUUUCUUUCUCUCUCUUUUCCUCCUUUCCCUUCCACCCUCUUCUUCCCCCUCGGCCUGCUUCUCUCCCCCUUUUGUCAUCUUUCAUUUUUAAUUUUCUUUGCUUCCGCUGAUGCUGCAAGGACAUUAGAAGGGUCCACUUUGGUCCCACAACCAAGACAGUUCCCCCUCCGCUUGGUCAUCAUCGCAGCCUCAUACAUGACUGUCUAUUGAGUGAAGGCAGGCCAUUAAGGAAGCAAGCAAAACAAAACAGAAAACCACCCAAAAUUUAUGCCCUGCUAAGAUUGGAGGACAAAUUCACUGG
Long non-coding RNA from Sceloporus undulatus (fence lizard), 1018 nucleotides. RefSeq lists it as uncharacterized. The transcript is spliced from 3 exons. The record is from RefSeq and is a predicted model, not a curated record. NCBI's taxonomy places the organism in Eukaryota, Metazoa, Chordata, Lepidosauria, Squamata, Phrynosomatidae.